Non-coding RNA from Aegilops tauschii subsp. strangulata, 2916 nucleotides. The record is from RefSeq and is a predicted model, not a curated record. Lineage: Eukaryota; Viridiplantae; Streptophyta; Magnoliopsida; Poales; Poaceae.
UUUAAUCAUCCCAAUUUUUUUGUCUUACCACAGUUAAGAAAUACGAUUCAUGUUUGCUAUUGCAUUUGGAGCUCCAUCCUUACAACUUAUGGAUAAUAUGAAUACAUCAAGGUGUUUUGGUUCUCCCCAUUCUGUAUGUUCGCAAUGGAGUGUAUAUAUUGUUGAUUUAUGUCAUGGUGAUUGAAUUUGAUUGCAGAGAGAAAGUGCAAAAGCUAUGGGCAAUCCUAUAUGACUGGCGCCAUCAGUAAGGAUUUAUUUAAAGCUAGCUUACUUUUGGGUCUAAGCCAAGUUUAUUUCUUUCGCAGAUUUAUUCACCUUAUUGGGACGGUGGGGUUAAUAUAUAUACAUCAACUUUGAGCAUCAGCAACGCAUGAAGCUUGCUUCUGAGGCUGCAACAUACUUUGCAAUCCCCCUGUGAAACAUACUUUUGUCACUAUGCACAUAUGGUUAUUCGAACGAAUUGAUUUCGAUUAGACUAUCUUUUUCCUAAUUACUUGUUAUAUGAUGUUCUUUACUAUUCAGAGGUUGUUGAAGGGAGAUGGGGCUCUUCUGGCCCCUUUGGUGCAAAAGCACAAGCAACAGCAUCUACAGCUGACCACUCAUAGCCUAGGAUGUCCUGCAGAUUUGAUCUAUUUUGGAUAGAGACAUGGAAUCAAACCACAGGAUACCCAAGCAGUGCGUACAAAUUGUAGUGGUGCUUGUAGCUUAUCAUCAAUCUGCCAUUAUUAUUUGUAUGUAUGUGUUCAAAACGACCACCUAGAGAUUCUUGAUUUGCUCCUGGCUGCACCGUUGGGUUUCUCGCGGCUUUGUUUCGUUUGAGUUCUAUUGUUCAAAACUGAAUUUGUUGAUGCUUAGAGUUUGGACUGGUCCGUUUGAUACGUCUGCACUCGUGAUGCGGAACAUUUUCCAACAUAGUGUGGGUUCAGAAGUGAGGAAAACAAUUGGCUUGCAGGGUUCAGGCUACUUUCUUGUGCUUGUUUUGCCUUGUGAUUACUUGAAACUGCAACCUGCAGGUUGAAUGGGCGCUUUAUAUUUUAGGGCGGAAGACUGAAGCAAAGAAAACUGCGGCUCUUUAGUAUAUCUUCAGAUUUGCGGCUCUUUGAGCUGUGGUACAUUUGAUUCGAGACCCGGAUGAGGUCGGUUAAAUUAGGAUUAAAGUCCGCACAAUAACUAGGAACACUGAACAAGCAAGGCUAUUCAGAUGAAGUCUGCACUUAAUACUAUAGGUUUCUUUUUGGGCUCUUGUACAGCUUCGCUAGCAUCAUGAAUUAAUUGUGGGAUAUGAUGCACAGUAGUAGCUUCUUCUGUUUAUUUUAGAAAUCUUAGUUUAUAGGUUUCCUUUUCGUCUCUUGUACUAAUGUUCAGGGUAAUGGAAAUCUUGUAUGAUAAUCUGCACAUAGUUGAUACUAACAACAUAAUGAUGACAUGUUUGUUUUUGGGCAUAAAGUUAUGUGCUGAUCCUCUUGCAUUUGGAUUCCGGUCUUACCCUGACUAUGCGGAUAUGCUAUUCUAGGUUGGUUUUACGUUUCUUAUUGGAAGAGUGAGAUGCCCAGGACAGAAUCCAGUUUGUAUCAACGCCUCAUUGGGAUGGAGGGCAGUCAGCAUCCACCUCGAGGCAGAGGGGUGGGCAGAAGGACGGUCGGUGUUCAACUCUCUACGGUUCAAAACCAAGUCCAUCCAAGCCUCAAAGUAUAAAGAAGGCGCCUAGACACUCGAUGGGUGGUGUAAACCGUAGGGUGUCCAUUGGUGGAGCCAUGAUGCAAGCAUCCAAAACAGACAUAUUGUAUACGAAGAAUGUUCAUGCUGCCAAGAGAAGUGAAGACAUUGCCCAUUUGUCCCCUGGGUGGGCGUGUAACUAGAAAACAAAACACUAUGGCGGCAAAUGAGACUAUCGAACCGAACUGAUUGUACUGAAAACUAGGACCUAAACUUGUGCUACUGGCCAACCUUUUCUUCAGGGAAUGCCAAGAUAUUUGCCAAACAAAGCCAUAGGAUGGUGCUAUACACAGAGGACAACCUAUCAGGGAGUCCACUAAUGACCAGAUGGGUAUCUUGUCGCUCAUCUACAGCAAGUCGGGCUCCAGUGUGUUUGGGUCAGCGUCCACGGAGGAGCAGAUAACUGACGGCAUUUACGCUGCCGGGCUCACUAUCCUCAUCACACGUGACCACAACCCACCCAACCGACUGUUACAAUGGUCGUGGAGCUUCUUGGAUUAAACUUGCAAAGAGUAGUACUGGAAAGCUUCAUUUUCGUAAGAUGCUCUGGCAAUACAAAAGGCAGGAAGACCAUACGAAGACCAAUACAAAAAGGAGGAUGCAUGAGCUUCAGAUCUGAUUGAAUUUAGUCGGAAGAUGGAGACUUGAAGGAGGAAUUAGUGGAGAAUAGGAAGGUGGAUAGAACAUGGGAACAAAUCAAAUACGUGUAUGUAUGACAUGGUGCUUUUUUUAAUCUCUUGCGUAUGUCAAUAUUUUUCUACAGUUACAUAUAUACAACUGAAUCACAAAGGAUUUUUUUUAUUAGGUACACCAUAGAAUAGUCUCACAUCUUGGUUUAUUUAUUACCCUGUUUAAAUAUCGACCAACAUGCUUGUCAAAUUUAUAAUUUGUGUGUGUGUGCGUUGUAGUGAUCUGAUAUUUUCAUGACUAUUCAUAUCAAUGAUUAUGCUUGCCCCAUGAGAAACACACGAAGAACAAAAGAUUGUGAGAUAGGGAGGGGAAGGGAAAGAUGACGAGGAGAUGUAUUUAUCUACCGCAUCACAAGCAUGCAAUAUCAUCGCAUGUUGUCUAUCACUCCCAUAUCACAUGGCAUUUCUCUUUGUAUAUACAUUUUUAGUAGCAUAUUUUUUGUUGUGCAUAUAUUUUGUUAGCCCGUGGCAACGCACGGGCAUCCUAUAUUCUGUUACGCGUAACAGAAUA